Molecule: long non-coding RNA, 3195 nt
Organism: Ctenopharyngodon idella (grass carp)
Lineage: Eukaryota; Metazoa; Chordata; Actinopteri; Cypriniformes; Xenocyprididae
Exons: 2
Source: RefSeq, a predicted model, not a curated record
GGGGCAAAGUCCCUUUAAGACAAGUCAUUUCACUCGGCGGCCAUCUUUGAAACGGCUCUCGGGCAUCCAAGUGCAGCUCCUAUUACUUUGAAUGGGGAAAGAUCGAGUUCUCUAAAGCUGUUUGCCAAGCUUUCGAUUAAAUUUCAUAUUUGAAAUCACCAUUGAAAUCUGACAACAACUUUCUCAUAAAUUUUGUUUCUAAACGCUCGAAUCAUGACAAAAAAACAGUAUUUUUCAGGCUGGAUCAACCUAAUGCGCAUGCGCAGUCCUAAAUGCGCGUCUCUUGUGCCUCAUUUCGGAGGCGCGCGUCUGACUGUUUCUAGAAACCGGAGCUUCUAACGGCCGCUGCAGUGACGCGAUGACUUUACCAAUCAGCGAUUGGCUCUUAUUUAGAAGGCGGGACUUAUUCCGCCAUAUUGCGCGUUGCACUUUUUCCCAUUCAUUAUAAUACGAGUGACGCGUCUUGUGUUGGUAGGGGUAGUGUAGGGGGAUAGAAUGUACAGUUUGUACAGUAUAAAAACCAUUUCGCCUAUGGAGAGUCCCCGUGAACCACACAUACGUGUGUGUGUGUGUGGUUCAGGUAUUAUGGGUACAAAAUGUCCCCACAAAGAUGGCAAUAUCUGAAAUACUUGUCCUUAAGGGGACAUGUUGGUCCCCAUGAAGAAAGUAUGAUUUAUAAUCCGUUAAGUGAUUUAUUUAUUUAUAUAUUUAUUGAAAAUCUAAAAAUGCAGAAAGUUUUCUGUGAUGCGUAGGGUUAGGGGAUAGAAUAUACAGUUUGUACAGUAUAAAAAAUAUAUCUAAUUUUAAUUAUGUAUAUUCAUUAUGUCUGUGGAAUGUCCCCAUUAAACAUGGAAACCCAGUGUGUGUGCGUGUGUCAGAUCUCCAUCAUGUCUAUUCAAAUUUUACUUUUUUUAUUUAUUUAUUUUAUUGCACCAUAUAAACUGUAAAGUUUUCCUGAUUAACUGUAAUGCAUUAUAUUACUAUUUAUCCAUCUCCCCUCACAAAAAUUACUGUAUAAGAAUGCAUUGCCAUGGCACUUUGAGAUAUACUAUGAUACUAGUCAAUUACCAUGUUCACGUACUAUGGUAAUUACAUGGUAUUACAUGUCCAAAAAAAAACGUUUUGUGCUCCCCCUAGCGACCAUGCGUGGUCAUUUCGAAAUCACCAAUUUCUCUUUCCACCAGCAGAGGGCUGCAGAGACCAUUUUAAAAUUUUGGACCUCCUUCAUUGCGCAAUUGCCCAUUUGGUAUUACCCUUUGUUUGCAAUUCAGAAGCCCAACGAAAUAUUUAAUCAGCCAUCAACUGUUCAUUUUUACACAAUAUAAUUAUUAUAAAUAUAAUUAAACUAACGGCCAGCUGUAAUAAUGCAAAUAUUGGGUUCAAGGGUUCAAAGAUUAGUAACGUUCACUUGUUUCUCAGACAUUUUCAUUGGUACUUUCUGAUGACUCAUGAAGAACAUCCUGUUUCGUUGGAAUAACCAAUGAGUUCAUGGCUUUUUAAUAAGUGACUGAUGUUAAUAAAAGGUUGAAUCAACCGUUUUUAUUGUUCUUCUCUUUUCAUAACAGAUCAUUAAGUCUGAAUUCUUUCUGCUGAUUCAUAUAAAGGCUAUUUUAAUGAAAGUGUGACUUCAGCGAAUCGGUUCUUUUGAGAAGUUUCAAAGAACCGUUUCGGGGGGGGAAAAAAAAACGAACAAAAACAAUUCAGCGAUCCUUUCACGUUCUGACGCAAUUACGUUUUCACGCCUUGCCUGCCAUCUCGGCCUGAUAAUGUUUUAAAAGAUUCUAAUGAAGCCAUAUAGAGGUGUUUUAUUAAGUUUUUGUAAGGAGGGUUUUUCACGCGUCUUAGCUCAUAAACCCAUAACGUCACUUAGGAUAUGUGCUAAUAAAACUGUCAAACACAUUUCCUGUACGUUUUGCUAUUAAAGUAACGUAUGCUGAAUUCGGAACCGCAUAGUAGCUGCUACUACUCGUACUACCUUUAUCACAUAUUUCUAUGGCAGAAAUAGUAAGAGCAGUAUGCUAGUGCGCGGUUCCGAACUCCGCAUUAGCCUAUUUUUUUUUACACUCUAAGUAAAAUAGUUGGUGAGCUUUGUUUUGAGAAAUCGGAGCGAUUCAUUGAAAAGAUCCGACUCAAAAGAACAGUUCUUUCACAUCGCGGGAAUUUCUGCAGGUUGGAAACUCCCACCGUGUGGAGGGAUUUGCGAUGGCGUGACAUGUUAAAAGGAAUAGGCACACAUCGGCUGACACAGCUGUAAUAAAUUCACAAACAAGCAAGACCAACAUUCCUCCUGUACUGGACAUCCAUAGUGAAUCAUGUCUGGAAUCGGCUUUCUGAAGAUAUACUUUAUCGGAACUGCGCUUUCCCUUCUGGUGGCUCUGUUUGGACUGGUUGAUUCAGUCGGGGGUCUGAUGUAUCCUCAAGGAUCCGACUGUGCAGACGACAGCUGGACAGAGAAACAUACCCCCGUGUCUCUAUCACGGACUGCUGCUGCUGCCAACAACAAACGCAUCGGGUCGAGAUAAUCUGGAUCUUCUCCACUGCCAUCGGUGACGAGUCUUUAAUUGCACUAGGAGAAAUAAUUAAAAUUACUGACCUACUAAAACCUAACAUGGAAUUGUUUCCUUCAUUACACUACUGUGAGCUGUGUGAAUCAUGUGAAAUAUGAGACCAUAUGCAGAACACCGAUGAUGGAUGGCUACUGGUACUACAGAUAUGAGAUGCAAAAUCUUCACCUCUUUUACUUGUUAUUCUGGUUUCUGCAAAGAACUUGUCUGACUUCAUAUAAAACUCUUAAGGCAGUAAAAAAGAGAGACAUUGAAAGCUUAAUAGCUACUACAAACAUGAUACAUGAACGAUGGACUGCUGUAAAAUAUUGAAAUCCUAUGUGAUCAAAAUGAUUUGUAUGUUUUUAAUGUUUGUUCCUUUUUAUACUGUUUAUAUGAAUACAAUAGUAACACCUAGACUGUUAAAUAGGUUUUUUUUUUUUUGUACUAUAGUUACUGACAUACUGUUCACUUUGAGAAACUGAGGCAUUAGGCUGCAGAUUUGGUUUUAUUUUGUUUUUUAAAACUUGCACUUUUUUUUUCUUUGCAUUGUGGGUUGAGGGUCUGAAAGAUAUGAGCAGCCAAACAAAAUUGUUACUGAAACUCACUGUUUCAUAUGCAACUGAAUAAAAAUAUGUACAUUAACACUCUU